This 693-nucleotide ribosomal RNA is filed under the name uncultured bacterium. RNAcentral describes it as "bacterial SSU rRNA". It matches the Rfam family "Bacterial small subunit ribosomal RNA", at positions 771 to 1462 of the family's 1533-position model. The record is from RNAcentral.
AACAGGAUUAGAUACCCUGGUAGUCCACGCCGUAAACGAUGAGUGCUAAGUGUUAGAGGGUUUCCGCCCUUUAGUGCUGCAGCUAACGCAUUAAGCACUCCGCCUGGGGAGUACGGCCGCAAGGCUGAAACUCAAAGGAAUUGACGGGGGCCCGCACAAGCGGUGGAGCAUGUGGUUUAAUUCGAAGCAACGCGAAGAACCUUACCAGGUCUUGACAUCCUCUGACAACCCUAGAGAUAGGGCUUUCCCCUUCGGGGGACAGAGUGACAGGUGGUGCAUGGUUGUCGUCAGCUCGUGUCGUGAGAUGUUGGGUUAAGUCCCGCAACGAGCACAACCCUUGAUCUUAGUUGCCAGCAUUCAGUUGGGCACUCUAAGGUGACUGCCGGUGACAAACCGGAGGAAGGUGGGGAUGACGUCAAGUCCUCAUGGCCCUUAUGGGUAGGGCUUCACACGUCAUACAAUGGUCGGUACAGAGGGUAGCCAACCCGCGAGGGGGAGCCAAUCCCAGAAAGCCGAUCGUAGUCCGGAUCGCAGUCUGCAACUCGACUGCGUGAAGUCGGAAUCGCUAGUAAUCGCGGAUCAGCAUGUCGCGGUGAAUACGUUCCCGGGUCUUGUACACACCGCCCGUCACACCAUGGGAGUGGAAUCCGCCAGAAGUAGGUAGUCUAACCGCAAGGGGGACGCUUACCACGG